GUGCCAGCAGCCGCGGUAAUACGGAGGAUCCAAGCGUUAUCCGGAAUCAUUGGGUUUAAAGGGUCCGUAGGCGGGGUAAUAAGUCAGUGGUGAAAGUCUGCAGCUCAACUGUAGAACUGCCAUUGACACUGUUAUCCUUGAGUAAUUAUGAAGUGGUUAGAAUAUGUAGUGUAGCGGUGAAAUGCAUAGAUAUUACAUAGAAUACCGAUUGCGAAGGCAGAUCACUAAUAAUUUACUGACGCUGAGGGACGAAAGCGUAGGUAGCGAACAGGAUUAGAUACCCUAGUAGUCC
RNAcentral lists this ribosomal RNA (292 nucleotides) under uncultured bacterium. RNAcentral describes it as "partial 16S ribosomal RNA". It matches the Rfam family "Bacterial small subunit ribosomal RNA", at positions 505 to 796 of the family's 1533-position model. The record is from RNAcentral.